CUUAAAGGAAUUGACGGGACCGCACAGCGGUGAUGAUGUGGUUAAUUCGAUGCAACGCGAAAACCUUACCCACCUUUGACAUGUACGGAAUCCUUUAGAGAUAGAGGAGUGCUCGAAAGAGAGCCGUAACACAGGUGCUGCAUGGCUGUCGUCAGCUCGUGUCGUGAGAUGUUGGGUUAAGUCCCGCAACGAGCGCAACCCUUGUCAUUAGUUGCUACAUUCAGUUGGGCACUCUAAUGAGACUGCCGGUGACAAACCGGAGGAAGGUGGGGAUGACGUCAAGUCCUCAUGGCCCUUAUAGGUGGGGCUACACACGUCAUACAAUGGAUGGUACAAAGGGUCGCCAACCCGCGAGGGGGAGCCAAUCCCAUAAAGCCAUUCGUAGUCCGGAUCGCAGUCUGCAACUCGACUGCGUGAAGUCGGAAUCGCUAGUAAUCGUGGAUCAGAAUGUCACGGUGAAUACGUUCCCGGGUCUU
This 476-nucleotide ribosomal RNA is filed under the name uncultured Acidovorax sp. RNAcentral describes it as "bacterial SSU rRNA". It matches the Rfam family "Bacterial small subunit ribosomal RNA", at positions 900 to 1382 of the family's 1533-position model. The record is from RNAcentral. Lineage: Bacteria; Pseudomonadati; Pseudomonadota; Betaproteobacteria; Burkholderiales; Comamonadaceae.